UCUGAGGAAUUACUCUAAUUCUUUAGUAGGUACUAGAAUCUACAUAGACUACACACGAGCCUGACUUUGAUCGGCUCACCCAUGUACAUCUAUGGGUAGGUUCUUAACCAAUUAUUUCAACAAAUAAUUUUUUAUAAUUGAUUUAGCUGUAAAUAACUUUUUAGUUGAAUUUGAUCUUUUCUACAAGCUCUGAUUAGGUCCAGCCAUUAACAUGAUCAUACUUACAAAUCUAACUACCAAAUAAUCAGGCCCAACUUUGAUCGGCUAACCUGACCACUUGACAUAAAGACU
Molecule: long non-coding RNA, 291 nt
Filed under: Elaeis guineensis (African oil palm)
Lineage: Eukaryota; Viridiplantae; Streptophyta; Magnoliopsida; Arecales; Arecaceae
Description: long non-coding RNA (EGUI_LNC038327)
Source: RNAcentral